Molecule: long non-coding RNA, 3720 nt
Filed under: Sorghum bicolor (sorghum)
Lineage: Eukaryota; Viridiplantae; Streptophyta; Magnoliopsida; Poales; Poaceae
Description: long non-coding RNA (SBIC_LNC015499)
Source: RNAcentral
GCCCAUAGCUCCUUCGACGGCGCCGCCUAGGAACGCGGAGAAAAUAUGACAAAGGAACGGCCAAAAAUAAAAAGAAAGACCUUUCUUUUGAAAAAACAAACAAAUAAAAGGAAUGCAACACAAGGACUUCCCAGGAGGUCACCCAUCCUAGUACUACUCUCGCCCAAGCACGCUUAACUUCGGAGUUCUGAUGGGAUCCGGUGCUUUAGUGCUGGUAUGAUCGCAUCCGACAUACCGUGCGUUCUCCUCCCCUUUAUGCCCGCGCCUCCGUGUACGGCCCGCCCAUAGCUCCUUCGACGGCGCCGCCUAGGAACGCGGAGAAAAUAUGACAAAGGAACGGCCAAAAAUAAAAAGAAAGACCUUUCUUUUGAAAAAACAAACGCCUCCGUGUACGGCCCGCCCAUAGCUCCUUCGACGGCGCCGCCUAGGAACGCGGAGAAAAUAUGACAAAGGAACGGCCAAAAAUAAAAAGAAAGACCUUUCUUUUGAAAAAACAAACAAAAAAAAGGAAUGCAACACGAGGACUUCCCAGGAGGUCACCCAUCCUAGUACUACUCUCGCCCAAGCACGCUUAACUUCGGAGUUCUGAUGGGAUCCGGUGCUUUAGUGCUGGUAUGAUCGCAUCCGACAUACCGUGCGUUCUCCUCCCCUUUAUGCCCGCGCCUCCGUGUACGGCCCGCCCAUAGCUCCUUCGACGGCGCCGCCUAGGAACGCGGAGAAAAUAUGACAAAGGAACGGCCAAAAAUAAAAAGAAAGACCUUUCUUUUGAAAAAACAAACGCCUCCGUGUACGGCCCGCCCAUAGCUCCUUCGACGGCGCCGCCUAGGAACGCGGAGAAAAUAUGACAAAGGAACGGCCAAAAAUAAAAAGAAAGACCUUUCUUUUGAAAAAACAAACAAAAAAAAGGAAUGCAACACGAGGACUUCCCAGGAGGUCACCCAUCCUAGUACUACUCUCGCCCAAGCACGCUUAACUUCGGAGUUCUGAUGGGAUCCGGUGCUUUAGUGCUGGUAUGAUCGCAUCCGACAUACCGUGCGUUCUCCUCCCCUUUAUGCCCGCGCCUCCGUGUACGGCCCGCCCAUAGCUCCUUCGACGGCGCCGCCUAGGAACGCGGAGAAAAUAUGACAAAGGAACGGCCAAAAAUAAAAAGAAAGACCUUUCUUUUGAAAAAACAAACAAAUAAAAGGAAUGCAACACGAGGACUUCCCAGGAGGUCACCCAUCCUAGUACUACUCUCGCCCAAGCACGCUUAACUUCGGAGUUCUGAUGGGAUCCGGUGCUUUAGUGCUGGUAUGAUCGCAUCCGACAUACCGUGCGUUCUCCUCCCCUUUAUGCCCGCGCCUCCGUGUACGGCCCGCCCAUAGCUCCUUCGACGGCGCCGCCUAGGAACGCGGAGAAAAUAUGACAAAGGAACGGCCAAAAAUAAAAAGAAAGACCUUUCUUUUGAAAAAACAAACAAAAAAAAAGGAAUGCAACACGAGGACUUCCCAGGAGGUCACCCAUCCUAGUACUACUCUCGCCCAAGCACGCUUAACUUCGGAGUUCUGAUGGGAUCCGGUGCUUUAGUGCUGGUAUGAUCGCAUCCGACAUACCGUGCGUUCUCCUCCCCUUUAUGCCCGCGCCUCCGUGUACGGCCCGCCCAUAGCUCCUUCGACGGCGCCGCCUAGGAACGCGGAGAAAAUAUGACAAAGGAACGGCCAAAAAUAAAAAGAAAGACCUUUCUUUUGAAAAAACAAACAAAAAAAAGGAAUGCAACACGAGGACUUCCCAGGAGGUCACCCAUCCUAGUACUACUCUCGCCCAAGCACGCUUAACUUCGGAGUUCUGAUGGGAUCCGGUGCUUUAGUGCUGGUAUGAUCGCAUCCGACAUACCGUGCGUUCUCCUCCCCUUUAUGCCCGCGCCUCCGUGUACGGCCCGCCCAUAGCUCCUUCGACGGCGCCGCCUAGGAACGCGGAGAAAAUAUGACAAAGGAACGGCCAAAAAUAAAAAGAAAGACCUUUCUUUUGAAAAAACAAACAAAAAAAAGGAAUGCAACACGAGGACUUCCCAGGAGGUCACCCAUCCUAGUACUACUCUCGCCCAAGCACGCUUAACUUCGGAGUUCUGAUGGGAUCCGGUGCUCUAGUGCUGGUAUGAUCGCAUCCGACAUACCGUGCGUUCUCCUCCCCUUUAUGCCCGCGCCUCCGUGUACGGCCCGCCCAUAGCUCCUUCGACGGCGCCGCCUAGGAACGCGGAGAAAAUAUGACAAAGGAACGGCCAAAAAUAAAAAGAAAGACCUUUCUUUUGAAAAAACAAACAAAAAAAAAGGAAUGCAACACGAGGACUUCCCAGGAGGUCACCCAUCCUAGUACUACUCUCGCCCAAGCACGCUUAACUUCGGAGUUCUGAUGGGAUCCGGUGCUUUAGUGCUGGUAUGAUCGCAUCCGACAUACCGUGCGUUCUCCUCCCCUUUAUGCCCGCGCCUCCGUGUACGGCCCGCCCAUAGCUCCUUCGACGGCGCCGCCUAGGAACGCGGAGAAAAUAUGACAAAGGAACGGCCAAAAAUAAAAAGAAAGACCUUUCUUUUGAAAAAACAAACAAAUAAAAGGAAUGCAACACGAGGACUUCCUAGGAGGUCACCCAUCCUAGUACUACUCUCGCCCAAGCACGCUUAACUUCGGAGUUCUAAUGGGAUCCGGUGCUUUAGUGCUGGUAUGAUCGCAUCCGACAUACCGUGCGUUCUCCUCCCCUUUAUGCCCGCGCCUCCGUGUACGGCCCGCCCAUAGCUCCUUCGACGGCGCCGCCUAGGAACGCGGAGAAAAUAUGACAAAGGAACGGCCAAAAAUAAAAAGAAAGACCUUUCUUUUGAAAAAACAAACAAAAAAAAGGAAUGCAACACGAGGACUUCCCAGGAGGUCACCCAUCCUAGUACUACUCUCGCCCAAGCACGCUUAACUUCGGAGUUCUGAUGGGAUCCGGUGCUUUAGUGCUGGUAUGAUCGCAUCCGACAUACCGUGCGUUCUCCUCCCCUUUAUGCCCGCGCCUCCGUGUACGGCCCGCCCAUAGCUCCUUCGACGGCGCCGCCUAGGAACGCGGAGAAAAUAUGACAAAGGAACGGCCAAAAAUAAAAAGAAAGACCUUUCUUUUGAAAAAACAAACAAAAAAAAGGAAUGCAACACGAGGACUUCCCAGGAGGUCACCCAUCCUAGUACUACUCUCGCCCAAGCACGCUUAACUUCGGAGUUCUGAUGGGAUCCGGUGCUUUAGUGCUGGUAUGAUCGCAUCCGACAUACCGUGCGUUCUCCUCCCCUUUAUGCCCGCGCCUCCGUGUACGGCCCGCCCAUAGCUCCUUCGACGGCGCCGCCUAGGAACGCGGAGAAAAUAUGACAAAGGAACGGCCAAAAAUAAAAAGAAAGACCUUUCUUUUGAAAAAACAAACAAAAAAAAGGAAUGCAACACGAGGACUUCCCAGGAGGUCACCCAUCCUAGUACUACUCUCGCCCAAGCACGCUUAACUUCGGAGUUCUGAUGGGAUCCGGUGCUUUAGUGCUGGUAUGAUCGAAUCCGACAUACCGUGCGUUCUCCUCCCCUUUAUGCCCGCGCCUCCGUGUACGGUCCGCCCAUAGCUCCUUCGACGGCGCCGCCUAGGAACGCGGAGAAAAUAUGACAAAGGAACGGCCAAAAAUAAAAAGAAAGACCUUUCUUUUGAAAAAACAAACAAAUAAAAGGAAUGCAACACG